This 241-nucleotide ribosomal RNA is filed under the name uncultured bacterium. Its description in RNAcentral is "partial 16S ribosomal RNA". It matches the Rfam family "Bacterial small subunit ribosomal RNA", at positions 923 to 1172 of the family's 1533-position model. The record is from RNAcentral.
GCACAAGCAGUGGAGUAUGUGGAUUAAUUCGACGCAACGCGAAGAACCUUACCAGGUCUUGACAUCGAGUGACGAGUGUAGAGAUACACUUCUCCUUCGGGACACGAAGACAGGUGGUGCAUGGUUGUCGUCAGCUCGUGUCGUGAGAUGUUGGGUUAAGUCCCGCAACGAGCGCAACCCUUACCUUUAGUUGCUACGCAAGAGCACUCUAGAGGGACUGCCGUUGACAAAACGGAGGAAG